GUUGCGUUGGCCUAAUGGUAAGGCGUCGGCCUCCGAUCAGCCGGAGAUUGAGGGUUCAAAUCCCUUGCGUGACU
Molecule: transfer RNA, 74 nt
Filed under: Hypsibius exemplaris
Lineage: Eukaryota; Metazoa; Tardigrada; Eutardigrada; Parachela; Hypsibiidae
Description: tRNA-Arg
Rfam family: tRNA
About the family: Transfer RNA (tRNA) molecules are approximately 80 nucleotides in length.
Source: RNAcentral